Molecule: ribosomal RNA, 491 nt
Filed under: uncultured bacterium
Lineage: Bacteria
Description: partial 16S ribosomal RNA
Rfam family: Bacterial small subunit ribosomal RNA
Source: RNAcentral
GAUGAACGCUGGCUACAGGCUUAACACAUGCAAGUCGAGGGGAAACGACGGGGAAGCUUGCUUCCCCGGGCGUCGACCGGCGCACGGGUGAGUAACGCGUAUCCAACCUGCCUCUGACUGAGGGAUAACCCGUCGAAAGUCGGCCUAAUACCUCAUGGUAUCGUCUGCGGGCAUCCAACGACGAUUAAAGAUUUCAUCGGUCAGGGAUGGGGAUGCGUCUGAUUAGCUUGUUGGCGGGGAAACGGCCCACCAAGGCUACGAUCAGUAGGGGUUCUGAGAGGAAGGUCCCCCACAUUGGAACUGAGACACGGUCCAAACUCCUACGGGAGGCAGCAGUGAGGAAUAUUGGUCAAUGGGCGAGAGCCUGAACCAGCCAAGUAGCGUGCAGGAAGACGGCCCUAUGGGUUGUAAACUGCUUUUAUGCGGGGAUAAAGUGAGGGACGUGUCCCUCAUUGCAGGUACCGCAUGAAUAAGGACCGGCUAAUUCCGUG